RNAcentral lists this ribosomal RNA (2077 nucleotides) under Drosophila melanogaster (fruit fly). RNAcentral describes it as "eukaryotic LSU rRNA". It matches the Rfam family "Eukaryotic large subunit ribosomal RNA", at positions 98 to 1888 of the family's 3401-position model. Lineage: Eukaryota; Metazoa; Arthropoda; Insecta; Diptera; Drosophilidae. The record is from RNAcentral.
AAGAAAACGGUUCAGCACUAAGUCACUUUGUCUAUAUGGCAAAUGUGAGAUGCAGUGUAUGGAGCGUCAAUAUUCUAGUAUGAGAAAUUAACGAUUUAAGUCCUUCUUAAAUGAGGCCAUUUACCCAUAGAGGGUGCCAGGCCCAUAUAACGUUAAUGAUUACUAGAUGAUGUUUCCAAAGAGCCGUGUUGCUUGAUAGUGCAGCACUUAGUGGGUGGUAAACUCCAUCUAAAACUAAAUAUAACCAUGAGACCGAUAGUAAACAAGUACCGUGAGGGAAAGUUGAAAAGAACUCUGAAUAGAGAGUUAAACAGUACGUGAAACUGCUUAGAGGUUAAGCCCGAUGAACCUGAAUAUCCGUUAUGGAAAAUUCAUCAUUAAAAUUGUAAUAUUUAAAUAAUAUUAUGAGAAUAGUGUGCAUUUUUUCCAUAUAAGGACAUUGUAAUCUAUUAGCAUAUACCAAAUAUAUCAUAAAAUAUAACUUAUAGUUUAUUCCAAUUAAAUUGCUUGCAUUUUAACACAGAAUAAAUGUUAUUAAUUUGAUGAAGUGCUGAUAGAUUUAUAUGAUUACAGUGCGUUAUUUUUUCGGAAUUACAUAAUGGCAUAAUUAUCAUUGAUUUUUGUGUUUGUAUGAUUAACAAUGCGAAAGAUUCAGGAUACCUUCGGGACCCGUCUUGAAACACGUACCAAGGAGUCUAACAUAUGUGCAAGUUAUUGGGAUAUGAACCUAAUAGCGUAAUUAACUUGACUAAUAAUGGGAUUAGUUUUUUACCGAUUUAUAGCUAAUUAACACAAUCCCGGGGCGUUCUAUAUAGUUAUGUAAAAUGUAUAUUUAUAUUAUUUACGCCUCUAACUGGAACGUACCUUGAGCAUAUAUGCUGUGACCCGAAAGAUGGUGAACUAUACUUGAUCAGGUUGAAGUCAGGCGAAACCCUGAUGGAAGACCGAAACAGUUCUGACGUGCAAAUCGAUUGUCAGAAUUGAGUAUAGGGGCGAAAGACCAAUCGAACCAUCUAGGAGCUGGUUCCUUCCGAAGUUUCCCUCAGGAUAGCUGGUGCAUUUUAAUAUUAUAUAAAAUAAUCUUAUCUGGUAAAGCGAAUGAUUAGAGGCCUUAGGGUCGAAACGAUCUUAACCUAUUCUCAAACUUUAAAUGGGUAAGAACCUUAACUUUCUUGAUAUGAAGUUCAAGGUUAUGAUAUAAUGUGCCCAGUGGGCCACUUUUGGUAAGCAGAACUGGCGCUGUGGGAUGAACCAAACGUAAUGUUACGGUGCCCAAAUUAACAACUCAUGCAGAUACCAUGAAAGGCGUUGGUUGCUUAAAACAGCAGGACGGUGAUCAUGGAAGUCGAAAUCCGCUAAGGAGUGUGUAACAACUCACCUGCCGAAGCAACUAGCCCUUAAAAUGGAUGGCGCUUAAGUUGUAUACCUAUACAUUACCGAUAAAGUAGAUGAUUUAUAUUACUUGUGAUAUAAAAUUUGAAACUUUAUUGAGUAGGAAGGUACAAUGGUAUGCGUAGAAGUGUUUGGCGUAAGCCUGCAUGGAACUGCCAUUGGUACAGAUCUUGGUGGUAGUAGCAAAUAAUCGAAUGAGACCUUGGAGGACUGAAGUGGAGAAGGGUUUCGUGUGAACAGUGGUUGAUCACGAGUUAGUCGGUCCUAAGUUCAAGGCGAAAGCCGAAAAUUUUCAAGUAAAACAAAAAUGCCUAACUAUAUAAACAAAGCGAAUUAUAAUACACUUGAAUAAUUUUGAACGAAAGGGAAUACGGUUCCAAUUCCGUAACCUGUUGAGUAUCCGUUUGUUAUUAAAUAUGGGCCUCGUGUUCAUCCUGGCAACAGGAACGACCAUAAAGAAGCCGUCGAGAGAUAUCGGAAGAGUUUUCUUUUCUGUUUUAUAGCCGUACUAUCAUGGAAGUCUUUCGCAGAGAGAUAUGGUAGAUGGGCUAGAAGAGCAUGACAUAUACUGUUGUGUCGAUAUUUUUAUCCUCGGACCUUGAAAAUUUAUGGUGGGGACACGCAAACUUCUCAACAGGCCGUACCAAUAUCCGCAGCUGGUCUCCAAGGUGAAGAGUCUCUAGUC